UUAAAGUUGUUGCAGUUAAAAAGCUCGUAGUUGAACCUUGGGCCUGGCUGGCCGGUCCGCCUCACCGCGUGCACUGGUCCGGCCGGGCCUUUCCUUCUGGGGAGCCGCAUGCCCUUCACUGGGUGUGUCGGGGAACCAGGACUUUUACUUUGAAAAAAUUAGAGUGUUCAAAGCAGGCCUAUGCUCGAAUACAUUAGCAUGGAAUAAUA
This 209-nucleotide ribosomal RNA is filed under the name uncultured eukaryote. RNAcentral describes it as "partial 18S ribosomal RNA". It matches the Rfam family "Eukaryotic small subunit ribosomal RNA", at positions 604 to 819 of the family's 1831-position model. The record is from RNAcentral.